Acanthaster planci (crown-of-thorns starfish) is the source of this 1222-nucleotide long non-coding RNA. RefSeq lists it as uncharacterized. NCBI's taxonomy places the organism in Eukaryota, Metazoa, Echinodermata, Asteroidea, Valvatida, Acanthasteridae. The record is from RefSeq and is a predicted model, not a curated record.
UAAAACUCUUGUUUGAGGCCUCCUUUGAGCCUUGUUUAUUUUGUCAAGAUCAAAAGAACCAGUUGCCUUCAGUAGUUUUCUAGCAAGCUUUCCAGUAUUUGUAUUGCAUUCUGGCCUAAACAGCGUCACAACCCACCAAGCUCCAUACUGUAGCGACAACUCUGCGCUUAAUUCCACCUCAAGCAAGGACGUGAUUGAGCAUCUAGUCUGAGCCAAUGAUGAAGACGUUCGCAUGUUUGCUUCUUCUAAUGUGUCUCAGUUGUGUCUUUGCCACGAAAAUGGAGGAAGAGACACUGAGGGCACUGUUGAUCGAGACGCUAAAGGAAUUGAAGAAUCAGGAAGUGGAAAGAGGAGUUUAUUGCAACGGGAAGUGGUGCGGACCUGGGCAAGAGUGCGUGAUGUCGUCACACGGAAAGGUUUGCUGGGAUACAUAAUGUGCCGGAGGCAAUGUCCUACCUUUAGGCCUACCCUGCAUGGAUGAGUGACGAAAUGGAAACGAAAUGCGACGACUGAUUCUUGAUGUUCAAGUUAUAAGACUGAGUAGUUUUAAGGACUCCAUGGUAGCAGAUUAAAUGAUCGUUGUAUUAUCUUGUUAACUUACUGCUUUGUAAUGCUAAUUCCAUGGGGCGUCUUUUGUAUUGUGCUGUUCUUGUAAUCUUAACAAGACCUCUGCAUCUGUAACGUCAUCCAGAAAUUUGAUUUGAUUUGAAUCUGCUAAUAAACGGAAGCAGUCAGACGGAUAAUUGUCCGAACAACGUAAUAACCUCCCCUUUACUGAAGACAAGUAAGAUUUCCAAGCUCAGAAAAACAUAUAAAUUAAAUUAAUCAUUGUGUCUGUCUAAAAAUUACAAUAGAUGUACAUCAUGAUAUACUUCCGUGUCAGUGCAACCAAAAACAACAACAUCACAAAGAGGGGAUGAAUGCGUAUUGCAGACAAUAAACCCCACCGUAAAUCCUUCAUUAUGGUGUAUCUUUCAUCGCAAACACAAACAAAACUCCAGCAAAUAAACAAACAAAAUAAAACAAAAAUGUUAUCACUAUAUUAGAAUGAUGUAUUAGAAAUUUUAAAACAUUGCACAUUCGCUCGUUCAGUUCCAUAAGCGAAACAGGUCGUAUUUUCUUACUCUCUUACUCUCUCUAUUUUUUUCCUCUGCAGUACGUUCACAUUUCUGUCAACAGUUGCUUAGUUAUAGUUAAUAAAGGUCAUUGAAUAUUCCAUCGA